Molecule: unclassified non-coding RNA, 6187 nt
Filed under: Hevea brasiliensis (rubber tree)
Lineage: Eukaryota; Viridiplantae; Streptophyta; Magnoliopsida; Malpighiales; Euphorbiaceae
Source: RNAcentral
CGGGAACUUUCCGCUCUGCUCCAUUUGCGCCCGAGCCUAUACUUGUCAUUAUAAAGACAAGCGCGACGCGCUCCGGGCUCUGUUUUUCUUCUCCAGUUUUCGCAUAACGGGGCUUUGAAACACCAUUAUUCUGCGUUGAUUCUUCUAAAGGCUUUAGACCCAAUCGAAUUGAUUGAUAUAUAGACUUGUACAUAUUCCGCUUCUUUAUCUCUCUCCUUGGAUAUAUAUAUAUAUAGAUACUUUGACAGUAAACGUACUCCUCCAUGGACGAAUCAUCGAGCGAGGCCCAAGGCCACGCUGCAGGUGCUCCUUCUUCUCUUACAGUGAAUACUCACUCGACAUCCCAAUCGCAAUCGCAGCAGGAAAGAGGAGUCGGGGAAGACGAGGAAGAUGGAACUACCAAGGAAGAGGAAGAAUUGCUGGACAAGGCACAGAAAUUGAUGGAUAAGAUCACAUCUUCCCCGGAUAACCCUAAGCCUACCGUCCUCCACGCCCUUUCCUCUCUCCUCGAAGCUCAGGAGUCUCUGUGUACAUGGAAAAGAGUGGCCAUUCAUCUUUUAAUAAUAAUCGUGCUUCUCACAGUAUUGGACGGCUUGGGAACUUAGUGCGGGAUAAUGAUGAAUUUUUUGAAUUGAUAUCUUCAAAGUUUCUUUCUGAAACUAGAUUUUCAACCUCUAUUCAGGCAGCUGCUUCAAGGCUUCUCAUGAGCUGUUCACUAACUUGGAUUUAUCCACAUGUUUUUGAAGAACCUGUAUUGGAAAACAUUAAAAGCUGGGUGAUGGAUGAGACUGCUAGAUUUUCUGGUGAGGAUCGCUACUGGAAGCAUGAUAUGGGAGAAAAGGAGGCCACAGAUUCUGAAAUGUUGAAGACCUAUUCAACUGGACUUCUUGCUGUAUGCUUGGCUGGUGGUGGUCAAAUAGUCGAGGAUGUGUUAACAUCUGGAUUGUCUGGAAAGCUUAUGCACUUUCUUCGCAUUCGUGUCCUUGGGGAGACGAGUACAAACCAUAAAGAUGCUACUUAUUUAACUGAAAGCAAGAAUGUGUCUUCUGCUUCAUGUGUUAGAGGCAGAGAAGAAGGUAGGGGUAGGGUGCGGCAGGUUCUGGAGGCUACUCAUGUGGAUAAUUCGAAGGUAACAGAUGAGAGGGCUUUGGAUGAUCCAGUCAGUGUAGAGCCACUUGAUAGGUUACCUGAUGGGUUUGAUAUGAUUGAUGCUGAUGGUGGGGACAAAUUACAAGAUCGAGACCUGCGAGAUGGAAAAAUAAAAUUUGGAGAUUUUGAUGAGAGUGGAAGAGAUGACUCAUCGAGACGCAGGCCUUCACGUGGAUGGCCAAGGCCUAGAGGGAAGGGAAGAGGUAAUGAGUCUUGUUUUGAGAAUGAACAGGUUUUGACAUCUCUGGGAUCUGGUAGCCGAUCAGGACAGGGACGAAGUUCUAGAGAUAGGAAUUUGAUGAAAAAUUUAGAUUUGAGAAGAGGACAAGAUGCGAGAAAGUGUCCAGGAAAUAUCAAUCCUGAUGGUUUAGCUGUGGAAAGAGAGAAUACUGAUGAUUGCUUUCAGGAAUGCAUAAUUGGAACCAAAGACAUUUCUGAUCUGGUAAAGAAAGCAGUUAAAGCUGCUGAAGCUGAAGCUAGAGCUGCGAAUGCACUUACUGAAGCCAUCAAAGCAGCUGGUGAUGCUGCUGCUGAAGUUGUCAAGAGUGCAGCCUUAGAGGAAUUUAAAUCUUCCAACAAAGAAGAAGCUGCAGUUUUAGCUGCUUCCAGAGCUGCAUCUACUGUUAUUGAUGCUGCUAAUGCAAUUGAAGUUUCGCGGAACAGUAGCAUCAAUGAUGACUCAGUGGCUCUUGGUGGUACAGAAACAGAAGCACUCAAGGAUGCUGAAGAAUAUUAUAUCCCUGAUUCUGAAUCACUUGCACAAAUUAGGGAAAAAUACUGCAUCCAGUGCCUUGAGAUAUUAGGAGAAUAUGUAGAAGUUCUUGGGCCUGUCCUGCUUGAAAAGGGAGUAGACGUGUGUCUUGCACUAUUGCAGCGCAGUUGUAAACACAAGGAAGCAUCAAAGGGAGCAACACUCUUGCCUGAUGUGAUGAAGCUCAUCUGUGCUUUGGCUGCUCAUCGGAAAUUUGCCGCUUUAUUUGUGGAUCGAAGUGGCAUGCAGAAAUUGCUUGCUGUUUCUAGGGUAGAACAAACAUUCUUUGGUCUGUCUUCGUGCUUAUUUACCAUUGGUUCUCUUCAGGGGAUAAUGGAACGUGUAUGUGCACUUCCUUCAGAUGUUGUCAACCAAGUGGUUGAGUUAGCUAUUCAACUUAUUGAUUGCCCUCAGGAUCAAGCCCGAAAAAAUGCAGCCUUAUUUUUUGGUGCUGCAUUUGUCUUCAGAGCUAUUAUUGAUGCUUUUGAUGGUCAUGAUGGUUUACAGAAGUUACUGGGCCUUUUAAAUGAUGCUGCCUCAGUAAGAUCUGGUGUUAAUUCAGGUGCAUUAAACCUGUCUAAUUCAGCAGCUCUUCGUAAUGAGCGCUCAGCAACAGAUGUAUUGACAUCAUCGGAGAAGCAGAUAGCUUAUCACACUUGUGUUGCUUUACGACAGUAUUUCAGAGCACAUCUUCUUUUGCUCUUGGAUUCCAUUCGUCCCAAUAAAAACAACAGAAGUGCAGCUCGAAAUGUUCCAAGUGUAAGGGCUGCAUACAAGCCUCUUGACAUUAGUAAUGAGGCUAUGGAUGCAGUCUUUCUGCAGCUACAGAAGGAUAGAAAGCUGGGUUCUGCAUUUGUGAAGACUCGUUUUCCUGCAGUUGACAAGUUCUUAGCCUUUAAUGGGCACAUUACCUUGUUAGAAUUGUGUCAGGCCCCACCUGUUGAGCGGUAUUUGCAUGACCUGCUUCAGUAUGCAUUGGGUGUUCUGCACAUUGUUACAUUGGUAAAUGACAGCCGCAAAAUGAUUGUAAAUGGCACAUUAAGCAAUAAUCGUGUUGGCAUAGCUGUAAUUUUGGAUGCAGCAAAUAUUUCUGGUAAUUAUGUGGACCCCGAGGUAAACACUUCUUCUGUAAUAUUUUCCCUUAUCAUUACCAUCCCAUUGUCAUCAUGAUCACUAUUAGAAUAUUUUCUAUCAAUUUGUAAGAAAAAUUUUAGGCUGAUAUCUUACUAUUUUUGGCUCUUAUACUAAGUAAUGUCAUAUACAUAAUUUUUUUUCCUGUAUAUUUGCAGAUCAUACAGCCUGCAUUAAAUGUGUUAAUCAAUCUUGUUUGUCCACCCCCUUCAAUUAGUAACAAACCCCCUGUUCUUGCACAAGGCCAGCAGACUGUUUCUGGUCAACUUGCAAAUGCUGCUGGUUUGGAAACUAGAGAUAGAAAUACAGAACGUAGCCAGAGUGAACCAAGGGAGCGGAAUGGAGAGUCUAGUGUUGGUGAUCGAGGCAUUGCAGCAGUUUCUGCUGCUCGAUCCAUCAGUAGCACUUCACAAACUCCUGUACCUACUGCAACUUCAGGAUUGGUUGGAGAUCGAAGAAUAUUUUUAGGUACUGGAGCAGGUUGUGUUGGCCUUGCUGCACAAAUGGAACAAGGAUAUCGUCAAGCAAGGGAGGCUGUUCGUGCCAACAAUGGUAUAAAGGUUCUUCUCCACCUUCUACAACCACGCAUAUAUUCACCUCCUGCUGCACUUGAUUGCAUUCGUGCUCUUGCAUGCCGAGUGCUGCUUGGUCUAGCCAGAGAUGAUACAAUUGCUCACAUAUUGACUAAACUUCAGGUUGGAAAAAAGUUGUCUGAGCUAAUUCGAGAUUCAGGUAGCCAAACAUCUGGAAUUGACCAAGGUAGGUGGCAAGAACUUGCGCAGGUGGCGAUUGAACUAAUUGCGAUUGUAACAAAUUCAGGGCGUGCCAGUACGUUGGCCGCUACUGAUGCUGCUACCCCUACACUGAGGCGCAUAGAAAGAGCAGCAAUUGCCGCUGCAACGCCUAUCUCUUAUCAUUCUAGGGAACUUCUGCUCCUUAUACAUGAACACCUUCAGGCUUCUGGUUUGGCUGCAACUGCUGCCACACUGCUGAAAGAGGCUCAAUUGACACCUUUGCCUUCACUGGCAGCUGCAUCUUCCCUCAUGCACCAAGCCUCUACACAAGAAACUCCUGCAGUACAGCUUCAUUGGCCUUCUGGUCGAACACCUCGUGGAUUUCUUUGCAACAAAUCAAAAGCAAGUUUCCAUGCUGAUGAUCCCAGCUUGAGGUGUGACUCAGCUUUGUCUUCAAAGAAGAAACCACUAGUUUUCUCCCCAACUUUUGGUUUACAGUCAAGAAAUCAUUCUGUGUCCCAUGAUUCCAGUCAAUCAUCAUCCAAGAAGGCCUUAAACGGUUUCAAACAGUCUACUACUCCUGGAAAUUUAUUAGAAGCACCAUCAGAAUCCUUGCCAAAAAGUAAUCCUGAUACGGAGUCUUUAUGCAAAACUCCAAUCGUACUACCAAUGAAACGGAAAUUAUCGGAUCUGAAAGAUAUUGGAUUGGCCUCAUCUGGGAAGCGAGUCAACACUAGUGAGCAUGGACUUCGGUCUCCUGUUUGUUUGACUACCAAUGUUGUGCGUAAGAGCAGUUUGUUUGGAGAUGCUGUUGGGUUUUCUACUCCUAGUUCUAAUUUGAGGGAUUUACAUGGUCGAUCAACACCAAGCAGUUUGGUAGAUUAUGCAGAUGACAACCAAUAUACUAACCCUACCCAGCUUGGGCUUUCAAAUGAUCACCAACCAAACAACUCAGAGCGAUUAACUCUUGACUCUCUUGUUGUUCAGUACCUCAAGCACCAGCAUCGCCAGUGCCCAGCUCCUAUAACAACUCUUCCCCCACUCUCUCUCUUGCACCCACAUGUUUGUCCUGAACCAAAAAGGAGCCUUGACGCUCCAUCAAAUGUAACUGCUAGGCUUGGUACACGUGAGUUCAGAAGUAUAUAUGGUGGUGUUCAUGGAAAUCGCAGGGAUCGCCAAUUUGUAUACAGCAGAUUCAGGCUGUUGAGAACUUGCAGGGAUGAUGCUGAUGCCCUUUUGACAUGCAUAACUUUUCUUGGUGAUUCAUCUCAUAUUGCAGUUGGCAGUCAUACUGGAGAGCUUAAGAUUUUUGACUCUAAAAGCAACAGUGUGCUCGAGAGCUGCACAAGCCACCAGUCUCCUUUAACACUCAUUCAGUCAUAUCUUUCUGGUGAAACACAACUUCUGCUCUCUUCAAGUCCCCAAGAUGUGCGCUUGUGGGAUGCCUCUUCAAUCUCAGGUGGGCCUAUGCAUUCACUUGAAGGGUGCAAGGCUGCAAGGUUCAGUAAUUCUGGGAGUAUCUUUGCCACCUUAACAACUGAGCCAGCUCAACGAGAAAUUCUCCUUUAUGAUGUCCAAACCUGUCAUGUGGAGUCAGCCAUGUCAGAUUCAAUUUUGAGUUCUACAGGUCGGGGGCAUGUAUAUUCCCUUGUACACUUUAGCCCUUCAGAUACAAUGUUGCUUUGGAAUGGGGUCUUGUGGGAUAGGCGGCAGUCUGCUCCUGUUCAUCGCUUUGAUCAGUUUACGGAUUAUGGGGGCGGGGGCUUUCAUCCUGCUGGGAAUGAGGUGAUUAUAAACUCUGAGGUUUGGGAUCUCCGGAAAUUUAGGCUUCUACGAAGUGUACCUUCAUUGGACCAAACAGCAAUAACAUUUAAUGCAUGCGGUGAUGUAAUUUAUGCAAUCUUGAGGAGAAAUCUUGACGAUGUAAUGUCAGCAGUUCACACCCGUCGAGUAAAGCACCCCCUCUUUGCUGCUUUCCGCACUGUAGAUGCAAUCAAUUACUCAGAAAUUGCCACCAUACCAGUAGAUCGUUGUGUCCUUAAUUUUGCAAUGGAGGCAACUGAUUCCUUUGUUGGGUUGAUUACAAUGGAUGACCAGGAAGAGAUGUAUUCUUCUGCUAGGAUCUAUGAGAUUGGUCGGCGAAGGCCAACUGAUGAUGACUCUGAUCCUGAUGAUGCUGAAACUGAGGAAGAUGAGGAUGAUGAUGAUGAAGAUGAUAGUGAUUUGGAUCCCAUUCUGGGUCCAGACCUGGAAGGGGAUGGCGAUAGUGAGGCUGAUGAUAUAAGCAAUGAGGAUGAUGAUGAUAGUGUGAGUGAACUUGAUGAGGAUGACGGGGACUUCAUAAUGGAUGAUGUAGAUUUUGAUGGGGGAGCUGGGAUACUGGAGAUUGUGGCCGAGAGUGAUGAGGAUGAUGAUGACAGUC